This 497-nucleotide ribosomal RNA is filed under the name uncultured bacterium. RNAcentral describes it as "partial 16S ribosomal RNA". It matches the Rfam family "Bacterial small subunit ribosomal RNA", at positions 28 to 507 of the family's 1533-position model. The record is from RNAcentral.
GAUGAACGCUGGCGGCGUGCCUAAUACAUGCAAGUCGAGCGAACAGAUAAGGAGCUUGCUCCUUUGACGUUAGCGGCGGACGGGUGAGUAACACGUGGGUAACCUACCUAUAAGACUGGGAUAACUUCGGGAAACCGGAGCUAAUACCGGAUAAUAUUUCGAACCGCAUGGUUCGAUAGUGAAAGAUGGUUUUGCUAUCACUUACAGAUGGACCCGCGCCGUAUUAGCUAGUUGGUAAGGUAACGGCUUACCAAGGCGACGAUACGUAGCCGACCUGAGAGGGUGAUCGGCCACACUGGAACUGAGACACGGUCCAGACUCCUACGGGAGGCAGCAGUAGGGAAUCUUCCGCAAUGGGCGAAAGCCUGACGGAGCAACGCCGCGUGAGUGAUGAAGGUCUUCGGAUCGUAAAACUCUGUUAUUAGGGAAGAACAUACGUGUAAGUAACUGUGCACGUCUUGACGGUACCUAAUCAGAAAGCCACGGCUAACUACGUG